UACAGAGGUUUCAAGCGUUGUUCGGAUUCAUUGGGCGUAAAGGGUGUGUAGGUGGCGCGCUAAGUCGGGUGUGAAAUUUCGGAGCUUAACUCCGAAACUGCAUUCGAUACUGGCGUGCUUGAGGACUGGAGAGGAGACUGGAAUUUACGGUGUAGCAGUGAAAUGCGUAGAUAUCGUAAGGAAGACCAGUGGCGAAGGCGGGUCUCUGGACAGUUCCUGACACUGAGACACGAAGGCCAGGGGAGCAAACGGG
Molecule: ribosomal RNA, 253 nt
Filed under: uncultured bacterium
Lineage: Bacteria
Description: partial 16S ribosomal RNA
Rfam family: Bacterial small subunit ribosomal RNA
Source: RNAcentral